Molecule: transfer RNA, 69 nt
Filed under: Rattus norvegicus (Norway rat)
Lineage: Eukaryota; Metazoa; Chordata; Mammalia; Rodentia; Muridae
Rfam family: tRNA
About the family: Transfer RNA (tRNA) molecules are approximately 80 nucleotides in length. Their secondary structure includes four short double-helical elements and three loops (D, anti-codon, and T loops).
Source: Rfam by way of RNAcentral
GGGGAUUUAGCUCAGUGGUAGAGCGCUUGCCUAGCAAGCACAAGGCCCUGGGUUCAGUCCCCAGCCCCG